UAACGGGUUCGCCGUCUCAUCAUCUCCUUCCUCGUAUCGUAUGUUCCCAGCGAGGACAGAGGUGGCUGACGGCCAUGGCGGAUGCCGGACGGGGACGGGCCGCCGGCGAUUGGCAGGGGUUACUCGCGGAGGAAUCAAUGCAUUGCGCGUUCCGCACCUCGCCGUACCGGUUCCUCCGGCCCUGCAUCUAGGGGGGCCGUCUCUGGCUAUCCCAAACAUUCCUUCACGGUCUGCCGUCGAGAUCGUCGGACCCCGUCCUGGGGAUGGACCCUGCGCCUAGAGAAGCGGCGCGAUUCGUCUCCGGACACGCGCGCUGACGGAUGGUGGUGUGGCGGGAGGACGAGGACGCUCUCAGGGCCUCUGACGUCAACGGCGGGAGCGGAUGCUCUUGCUAUGGAACUGUUCGAUUGAAUGCCUGACUGGAAUCCGGCUCCAAAUACAGGUGAUGCACUUUCGGACGGGCGAUCAGCGGCCGCGCUCUGGCGUAGCAGGAGGCCAAGCGCGCCAAGAGCCUGGGAGAAGACGUGGUUGUUCAGCAGUCCGCCAGGGAUCGAUCACACACUAUGGAAUGGCGGCUUGGCGUUCCAGAUGCGAAGGCUGACUUGGAUGGUGAGCUGAAUGGCGAACUGAGCCAUGAGCAAAAACUACCACGAGGCAGCUCCUCUUAUAUGGCCUGGCUUAGUGGCCUCGGCACUGGCACUAGCCUGCAAUCAGGCUGGCGAUUACUCAUCUGCCCGAGGAAAGCGAGAGCGAGUCAAUGUCGUCACCUCGCAGCAUGAGUUGCUCACUGGCGAAUCCGACGAGGUUCCAGGUUGAUAGCUACGGCUGAACCCGUCGUCGUUUUCUGUGAAGAAAGCUAAUAGACAAAUCAAGCUCUGGAGAAGGGCGUUGUUUCAGAUGUAGCUGCUGGGAUCAGUACGUCUGUUCCAGUUGGGAACCUCUGAUUUGCAGUCAGGUGCCCACGACAUCUAGAAAACACUGUCAUUUUCUCUAGUUUUUUUUUACUAGUGAUAUGUAAGUCUCACGCCUAGAGUUCACUGCCAUGCGACGCAUUGGACAGAGGAGAGCACCAAGCUGGCAAUAAGUUGGAGUUGGUCUGUCUCUGCAAAUUUCUGUUCGUGUCUGCAUCAAAACUCACGUGCUUGACGCUCGUCAUCUUCCAUCUGCGCUUGUGAUAAAUGCAAGAUGCCCUGUUAA
Molecule: long non-coding RNA, 1197 nt
Organism: Panicum virgatum (switchgrass)
Lineage: Eukaryota; Viridiplantae; Streptophyta; Magnoliopsida; Poales; Poaceae
Exons: 2
Source: RefSeq, a predicted model, not a curated record